This 251-nucleotide ribosomal RNA is filed under the name uncultured prokaryote. Its description in RNAcentral is "partial 16S rRNA". It matches the Rfam family "Bacterial small subunit ribosomal RNA", at positions 525 to 775 of the family's 1533-position model. The record is from RNAcentral.
ACGGAGGGUGCGAGCGUUAAUCGGAAUUACUGGGCGUAAAGCGCGCGUAGGCGGCUUUGUAAGUCAGGGGUGAAAGCCCACGGCUCAACCGUGGCAUUGCCUUUGAUACUGCAGAGCUUGAGUUCGGGAGAGGGUGGUGGAAUUCCAGGUGUAGGAGUGAAAUCCGUAGAGAUCUGGAGGAACAUCAGUGGCGAAGGCGGCUCACUAGACAGUUUCUGACGCUAAGAUACGAAAGCGUAGGGAGCAAACAG